CCUACUCUCAGGUAAGGAUGCUUCUCUACUUCAUGUCCUUUAGUGGUACUUUUAUCAUAACUAAUAUGCCAUGUUGUGCGAAAGCUUAACCAAGAGGCUGGGAAGGCUUUAGAGAGAGUUUGGAUAGUGAGUUGAGUUAAAUUAA
Molecule: long non-coding RNA, 145 nt
Organism: Juglans microcarpa x Juglans regia
Lineage: Eukaryota; Viridiplantae; Streptophyta; Magnoliopsida; Fagales; Juglandaceae
Exons: 3
Source: RefSeq, a predicted model, not a curated record